This 253-nucleotide ribosomal RNA is filed under the name uncultured bacterium. Its description in RNAcentral is "partial 16S ribosomal RNA". It matches the Rfam family "Bacterial small subunit ribosomal RNA", at positions 524 to 776 of the family's 1533-position model. The record is from RNAcentral.
UACGUAGGGCGCAAGCGUUGUCCGGAAUUAUUGGGCGUAAAGAGCUCGUAGGCGGUUUGUCGCGUCUGUCGUGAAAGCUUGGGGCUUAACCCCAAGUCUGCGGUGGAUACGGGCAGACUAGAGGCAGGUAGGGGAGAACGGAAUUCCCGGUGUAGCGGUGAAAUGCGCAGAUAUCAGGAAGAACACCCGUGGCUAAGGCGGUUCUCUAGUACGGUACUGACGCUGAGACGCGAAAGCGUGGGGAGCGAACAGG